GGGACCUGCUGCUUGGGGUGGCCCUGGUUUCCUCGUGCAGGCUGGAGAGUCUGUGUGUUCUGUCAGAGGAGCCUUUGCCAAUCACCGCAGCAGGAACCAUCAGGUUUAGGGUAACAGUUUUCACGACUGUACAGUGGGAUAACAAGCGUUAAUAUCAACAAACGUACCUGCCUUCCAAGGAAAAGCGGCCCAGGCCAGGUGGGCUUCAGGGGGUGGAUCAGAGAAGCUCGGUUACCUUACCAUAAGAAUAUUAGGGGUCUAUGAAUAAAAUUGGACAGGUGAGCAUAUUAGUGGGAAGAAUGGUGUUCCUGAUUAGCAAGAAAAUCACUGGGUGCAUCCCUACCUGUGUGAGUGUGCUGGAGAAGGCAUGAGGACCUGGCACAGCUAGGACAGGCAAAUUCUGAGAGGCCCUUUCAAGUACCUACUGCUGCUGAGGUUCUUGUGAGUUCCUGUUUUCAUGUCUGAGGAAAGCCAGAGUGGCAGAGUCCAAUACCUUCUGUUUUUCUCAUCGCUCCAGGCCAAUAUUUUCUCCACUCGACAUCACAGGGCAGCUGAAGUGCCUCUUGAAGCUGGAAACAGGACCUCCUCAUGACAGGGGCCUGUACACAAUGAUACAUCAUUAAAUUUAUAAUUUAAAAAAUAAUAAUAAAGUA
Long non-coding RNA from Mauremys reevesii (Reeves's turtle), 653 nucleotides. RefSeq lists it as uncharacterized. The record is from RefSeq and is a predicted model, not a curated record. NCBI's taxonomy places the organism in Eukaryota, Metazoa, Chordata, Testudines, Geoemydidae. The transcript has 4 exons.